RNAcentral lists this ribosomal RNA (253 nucleotides) under uncultured bacterium. Its description in RNAcentral is "partial 16S ribosomal RNA". It matches the Rfam family "Bacterial small subunit ribosomal RNA", at positions 524 to 776 of the family's 1533-position model. The record is from RNAcentral.
UACGUAGGUGGCUAGCGUUGUCCGGAUUUACUGGGCGUAAAGAGCGCGCAGGCGGUCGUUCAAGUCGAGUGUGAAAGCCCCCGGCUCAACUGGGGAGGGUCACUCGAUACUGAUCGACUUGAAGGCGGGAGAGGGAAGCGGAAUUCCCGGUGUAGUGGUGAAGUGCGUAGAUAUCGGGAGGAACACCCGUGGCGAAGGCGGUUCUCUGGGACGGUACUGACGCUGAGACGCGAAAGCGUGGGGAGCGAACAGG